Molecule: transfer RNA, 72 nt
Filed under: Dermacentor silvarum
Lineage: Eukaryota; Metazoa; Arthropoda; Arachnida; Ixodida; Ixodidae
Description: transfer RNA proline (anticodon AGG)
Rfam family: tRNA
About the family: Transfer RNA (tRNA) molecules are approximately 80 nucleotides in length. Their secondary structure includes four short double-helical elements and three loops (D, anti-codon, and T loops). Further hydrogen bonds mediate the characteristic L-shaped molecular structure. tRNAs have two regions of fundamental functional importance: the anti-codon, which is responsible for specific mRNA codon recognition, and the 3' end, to which the tRNAs corresponding amino acid is attached (by aminoacyl-tRNA synthetases). tRNAs cope with the degeneracy of the genetic code in two manners: having more than one tRNA (with a specific anti-codon) for a particular amino acid; and 'wobble' base-pairing, i.e. permitting non-standard base-pairing at the 3rd anti-codon position.
Source: RNAcentral
GGCUCGUUGGUCUAGGGGUAUGAUUAUCGCUUAGGGUGCGCGAGGUCCCGGGUUCAAAUCCCGGACGAGCCC